This 253-nucleotide ribosomal RNA is filed under the name uncultured bacterium. Its description in RNAcentral is "partial 16S ribosomal RNA". It matches the Rfam family "Bacterial small subunit ribosomal RNA", at positions 524 to 776 of the family's 1533-position model. The record is from RNAcentral.
UACGGAGGAUCCGAGCGUUAUCCGGAAUUAUUGGGUUUAAAGGGUCCGUAGGCGGGCCGUUAAGUCAGGGGUGAAAGUCUGCGGCUCAACCGUAGGACUGCCCUUGAUACUGGCGGCCUUGAGUUAUGGUGAAGUAACUAGAAUAUGUGGUGUAGCGGUGAAAUGCAUAGAGAUCACAUGGAAUACCGAUUGCGAAGGCAGGUUACUAACCAUAUACUGACGCUGAUGGACGAAAGCGUGGGGAGCGAACAGG